This 28-nucleotide non-coding RNA is filed under the name Bombyx mori (domestic silkworm). Lineage: Eukaryota; Metazoa; Arthropoda; Insecta; Lepidoptera; Bombycidae. The record is from RNAcentral.
UCACCUUCAUCUACUUCGCUGCCUUCGC